RNAcentral lists this ribosomal RNA (497 nucleotides) under uncultured bacterium. Its description in RNAcentral is "partial 16S ribosomal RNA". It matches the Rfam family "Bacterial small subunit ribosomal RNA", at positions 28 to 507 of the family's 1533-position model. The record is from RNAcentral.
GAUGAACGCUGGCGGCGUGCCUAAUACAUGCAAGUCGAGCGAACGGACGAGAAGCUUGCUUCUCUGAUGUUAGCGGCGGACGGGUGAGUAACACGUGGAUAACCUACCUAUAAGACUGGGAUAACUUCGGGAAACCGGAGCUAAUACCGGAUAAUAUUUUGAACCGCAUGGUUCAAAAGUGAAAGACGGUCUUGCUGUCACUUAUAGAUGGAUCCGCGCUGCAUUAGCUAGUUGGUAAGGUAACGGCUUACCAAGGCAACGAUGCAUAGCCGACCUGAGAGGGUGAUCGGCCACACUGGAACUGAGAACCGGUCCAGACUCCUACGGGAGGCAGCAGUAGGGAAUCUUCCGCAAUGGGCGAAAGCCUGACGGAGCAACGCCGCGUGAGUGAUGAAGGUCUUCGGAUCGUAAAACUCUGUUAUUAGGGAAGAACAUAUGUGUAAGUAACUGUGCACAUCUUGACGGUACCUAAUCAGAAAGCCACGGCUAACUACGUG